This 197-nucleotide ribosomal RNA is filed under the name uncultured bacterium. Its description in RNAcentral is "partial 16S ribosomal RNA". It matches the Rfam family "Bacterial small subunit ribosomal RNA", at positions 328 to 539 of the family's 1533-position model. The record is from RNAcentral.
ACGCUCGACACCUACGGGAGGCAGCAGUGGGAAUAUUGCACAAUGGGGGAAACCCUGAUGCAGCGACGCCGCGUGGAGGAAGAAGGUCUUCGGAUUGUAAACUCCUGUUGUUGGGGAAAAAGAGGAUGGUACCCAACAAGGAAGUGACGGCUAACUACGUGCCAGCAGCCACGGUAAUCUGAGCGGGCUGGCAAGGC